GACGAACGCUGGCGGCGUGCUUAACACAUGCAAGUCGAACGGAAAGGCCCUGCUUUUGUGGGGUGCUCGAGUGGCGAACGGGUGAGUAACACGUGAGUAACCUGCCCUUGACUUUGGGAUAACUUCAGGAAACUGGGGCUAAUACCGGAUAGGAGCUCCUGCUGCAUGGUGGGGGUUGGAAAGUUUCGGCGGUUGGGGAUGGACUCGCGGCUUAUCAGCUUGUUGGUGGGGUAGUGGCUUACCAAGGCUUUGACGGGUAGCCGGCCUGAGAGGGUGACCGGCCACAUUGGGACUGAGAUACGGCCCAGACUCCUACGGGAGGCAGCAGUGGGGAAUAUUGCACGAUGGGCGGAAGCCUGAUGCAGCAACGCCGCGUGCGGGAUGACGGCCUUCGGGUUGUAAACCGCUUUCGCCUGUGACGAAGCGUGAGUGACGGUAAUGGGUAAAGAAGCACCGGCUAACUACGUGCCAGCAGCCGCGGUGAUACGUAGGGUGCGAGCGUUGUCCGGAUUUAUUGGGCGUAAAGGGCUCGUAGGUGGUUGAUCGCGUCGGAAGUGUAAUCUUGGGGCUUAACCCUGAGCGUGCUUUCGAUACGGGUUGACUUGAGGAAGGUAGGGGAGAAUGGAAUUCCUGGUGGAGCGGUGGAAUGCGCAGAUAUCAGGAGGAACACCAGUGGCGAAGGCGGUUCUCUGGGCCUUUCCUGACGCUGAGGAGCGAAAGCGUGGGGAGCGAACAGGCUUAGAUACCCUGGUAGUCCACGCUGUAAACGGUGGGUACUAGGUGUGGGGUCCAUUCCACGGGUUCCGUGCCGUAGCUAGCGCUUUAAGUACCCCGCCUGGGGAGUACGGCCGCAAGGCUAAAACUCAAAGGAAUUGACGGGGCCCCGCACAAGCGGCGGAGCAUGCGGAUUAAUUCGAUGCAACGCGUAGAACCUUACCUGGGUUUGACAUGGAUCGGGAGCGCUCAGAGAUGGGUGUGCCUCUUUUGGGGUCGGUUCACAGGUGGUGCAUGGCUGUCGUCAGCUCGUGUCGUGAGAUGUUGGGUUAAGUCCCGCAACGAGCGCAACCCUUGUUCACUGUUGCCAGCACGUUAUGGUGGGGACUCAGUGGAGACCGCCGGGGUCAACUCGGAGGAAGGUGGGGAUGACGUCAAGUCAUCAUGCCCCUUAUGUCCAGGGCUUCACGCAUGCUACAAUGGCUGGUACAGAGAGUGGCGAGCCUGUGAGGGUGAGCGAAUCUCGGAAAGCCGGUCUCAGUUCGGAUUGGGGUCUGCAACUCGACCUCAUGAAGUCGGAGUCGCUAGUAAUCGCAGAUCAGCAACGCUGCGGUGAAUACGUUCCCGGGGCU
This 1346-nucleotide ribosomal RNA is filed under the name uncultured bacterium. RNAcentral describes it as "bacterial SSU rRNA". It matches the Rfam family "Bacterial small subunit ribosomal RNA", at positions 28 to 1381 of the family's 1533-position model. The record is from RNAcentral.